GUGAAAGAUAACUAUUUUGAAUGGAUUCAGGACAUCAGGGCAGCCAAGGUAGUGCAAGGAAAGACUGGAAGGAGGACUUCCGCAACUGUUUCUGAAAGUGCCAAGAAGGAUGUGAUGAAUGUGUUUGAAGUGACUCUCCUCAGACUGCGCCGUGGCUGACAGAGGCGGAGCGACGAGUCCUGACAGCAGGCCAAGGCAGCGCGCGCUGGGUGUUGACAGUCUCAGAUCCAUGACUGCUCCCCACUCCACCUGCUCCACGGUGGGAAAAGCUUUGUUAUGCGAGCAGCUUGAUAAGGACAGCUUCCUGCCAGGGAGGAAGUUAAACUUGAAUUCGAUUCAGAAGAAAAUAAUGAAGUCUGUUUCUCCCCCAUCUCUGAAAAUCACAGCGGUCUAUCACUGCACGAAGUGCCUCCUGCAGAAGUGUAAUACUUCGUGACCUUUCCCCUCCUGCCCAAUGAUAUCGUUGGCUGACUCUCUUGACACACCCUUCCGCAAAUUUCCUGAAGCUGUUACUGUGCCGUGAAUGCUGCUCUGGACAUUACCGGGAAAUGUAACCGGAAUAGCUUCACGGCGUCUUUUUAUAUCAGUGUGUGUUGUACUUGUUUGCCCACACUCAGCCAUUAAAAUUACGAGUUACCUCUUUA
Long non-coding RNA from Chinchilla lanigera (long-tailed chinchilla), 644 nucleotides. RefSeq lists it as uncharacterized. NCBI's taxonomy places the organism in Eukaryota, Metazoa, Chordata, Mammalia, Rodentia, Chinchillidae. The transcript has 2 exons. The record is from RefSeq and is a predicted model, not a curated record.